AGUCACAUCAGCUGCCCGAGCAGGCAGGGAGAGAAAUGCCCGUCGGCUUCCGGGAGUGCCAAAUAAAGACAAGUCCAGAAAGAGAGAGAGACCGUGACAGAGACGGAGAAAGAAAGCAAAAAUGCAUUCUUUAAGCGUAGGAGCUACACAAAACAGUCAAGCUCUUCUGCUCUUUUCACCUCCCCAGGAGGACGUUGGCAGACAUCAAAGGCUAAGACUAAGCACUGGAAUGCCGAGGGUGACAGUGGUGUGAAUUUUCUUCUGCUCCUUCAAUCUCUCUCUCAGCUACGGACUUCAAGACUGAGGAUAUCUCAAUUUUACAUCCUGCUGCAAAAUGAGACUGCUGGUAUGGAUCCCUAGGUACAGUACAUUGUUUACAUUAGUAUGUAGUUUUGUUGGCCUAAAUUACUAUUUUACAAGUGAUGGCUGCCUAGAUUAGAUGUGAAGAGCUGAUCAAGUACAGCAGCACAGAGCCAUGCAGAAUUGUUUACCCUACUUUUCAUCUCCAUGGCAAAUGAAAACGUUUUUUUCUGUACUCUGAGAGCUUUCUGAGACCAGCCCCAUUAUAUAUCCCUAUCAACGCAUACUUUUCGCAUUCAGCUGAGGUAGAGGAGUUUCUUCUGGUAAGUGAAAACGUGGUUUUCCUUUUAUAGGCCUUAGCUGAGAUACUUUGCAUGAUGGCUUGCUUUUUUCCCCUUGCUUUCUGAAUUACCAUCAUCUGUGUAUUGAGUCUUUCUAUGAAAACAGAAGAACAAAUACAAAGCCAGAAAAUGAUUCUGCCUUUUUUGCCAGAUGAUCUUCCUGUAGCCACAUUGUCUUCCACUCUACCUUUCAUUUUUUGUUAUUUUUUCCCAAAAAAGGAAGGAGGAGAAAGCAAAAGUUAAAAAAAAAGAAAAAAAGUAUUUGUUUGAUGGCUAAAAUGGUUUGGAAAGAAUUACAAAUAUUUUGCUCUGGUGGGGUGAAAUCCUAUUCCUCCUCAAAUCAGUGUGUGUUUUGCCAGUGGCUGAUGAGCUUUCACCCUAAAUUUUCACCUUAAUGUUUCACUUGAAUAAAUAUAGACCAAUGAUUCAAGUACUAGAAGAAAACGUUUUGUUUCAAAGCAAUUCAUUUAUUUAAUGCUUAUUUUCCUGCUUUCCUGUAUUUACAUGGGCUCUGUACCUACUGUACCAUAUUUCUAGAAGCUAUCAUUUUCUUUAGAGAAUAUUGUUUGCUCUGCUGAAUAAUUCAUCUUGGGGAUCUCCUUUAAUCCCCCAUCAAAUGUGCCACUCUUGUAACUUUGUAGAGGAAAAAAAAAGGAACACAACACUGCAAAGCUGAUUUAUGAAUUAGGCCAUGAGAGUUAAAAAUAAAUAAAGUGUUGGUGUAAGUAAGUACAUCAGGUUGGAUUCUGGUUCAGUUAUAUCAGUGUCUCUGAAACAAAACUGUUGGUUCUAUGCAGAUUUCCACUAAUGUGGCAAAGAUCUGGCUCUGACUUAUCACAGAGUGUAAAAAAGGAGCAUGGGAGAAGCGUGGUGACAAUUUGAUAUUUAGAUGUCAGAUAAUUUGUCUGGCAAUGUAAGCUUUGAAGGAAAACAGAACUGCUUAGAAUACAAUAUAAAUUCAACAGCAAAUAACAUGCAGUCUAAUCCAAAAUUCUAUGUAUCUCACCUGGUUAAAAUAUAAAUGUUUUAGAUGGAAAGGAAAUACUCCAGAAGUAUCUUCAUAGUGAAUUUGUGGUCCACAAACACUUUUAAGUUCUUUCAUGGGAUUUACACAUUUGUUAUAAGCAACUCCAAUUAAUUUUCUGUAUAUAAGAUAGAUUCAGGUACUGCACCUCUUACAAAGUGUUGUUUCAAAGCCGAGUCUUGAGGUACUUGUAAAACAUUAAAAGGAAAUAAUCAAAACAGUUGCAUACUCGAAGAAUGUAUGCCUUGCAAAGUCAAACCAGUAUUAAAGGUGCAUAUCAGUCCCACAGCAUAUAAAAGAUUGUUGCUUGUAUCUGAGCUGACCAAUUCAGAAAUGUCAGCCUCUUCCAGCCACCAGCUUCAUUCAGCCUGUAAUAAAUAGCCAAAUUGUCAGCUUGUG
Lagopus leucura (white-tailed ptarmigan) is the source of this 2064-nucleotide long non-coding RNA. RefSeq lists it as uncharacterized. The record is from RefSeq and is a predicted model, not a curated record. The transcript has 3 exons. Lineage: Eukaryota; Metazoa; Chordata; Aves; Galliformes; Phasianidae.